AACGAACGCUGGCGGCAUGCCUAACACAUGCAAGUCGAACGAUGCUUUCGGGCAUAGUGGCGCACGGGUGCGUAACGCGUGGGAAUCUGCCCUUGGGUUCGGAAUAACAGUGAGAAAUUGCUGCUAAUACCGGAUGAUGUCUUCGGACCAAAGAUUUAUCGCCCAGGGAUGAGCCCGCGUAGGAUUAGCUAGUUGGUGGGGUAAUGGCCUACCAAGGCGACGAUCCUUAGCUGGUCUGAGAGGAUGAUCAGCCACACUGGGACUGAGACACGGCCCAGACUCCUACGGGAGGCAGCAGUGGGGAAUAUUGGACAAGGGGCGCAAGCCUGAUCCAGCAAUGCCGCGUGAGUGAUGAAGGCCUUAGGGUUGUAAAGCUCUUUUACCCGGGAUGAUAAUGACAGUACCGGGAGAAUAAGCUCCGGCUAACUCCGUG
RNAcentral lists this ribosomal RNA (433 nucleotides) under uncultured bacterium. RNAcentral's name for it is "partial 16S ribosomal RNA". It matches the Rfam family "Bacterial small subunit ribosomal RNA", at positions 29 to 507 of the family's 1533-position model. The record is from RNAcentral.